Bombus terrestris (buff-tailed bumblebee) is the source of this 8215-nucleotide long non-coding RNA. RefSeq lists it as uncharacterized. The transcript is spliced from 2 exons. NCBI's taxonomy places the organism in Eukaryota, Metazoa, Arthropoda, Insecta, Hymenoptera, Apidae. The record is from RefSeq and is a predicted model, not a curated record.
AAAGAUCAACGAAAAUUACGUUACAUUAACAUAGUCUCUGCUGCACCAAUUACGUAAUUUGUUCUUCAAAUCGCGUAGAUCACGAGUGGCAUAACUUGCUAUUACAUCGCGGAUGUUCGUACUUUUAGGAAAAAUUUCAACGCGCCAAUAUGCAUAGAAGCCGCAUAACGUGUAAAUCGUUCAAACUACUCGUUAUAAUACUUAGAGCGCAAAUUACCUUUAUUUAAUCGACCAAUAAAUCAAUAAUUCUUUAUUUAUGUUGCAACUUUUUAAUCGUGUUUAGAAUAACAUAAAUUGGUACAAACGCAGUGUAAUUAUUGGAAAGAAAAACGUUAAUGUACAAUAUAUGUCGCAAUAAUUAACGUAAUUUAGUUUCGUCUCACAAGCAAACAACUCGGGAAAAAGAUCAUGGACCACGAGUGACCCACGAAACACAGAACGUGUUAAUGGAUAUUUAAAUAGGAACGGCAGAGAAGUUGAACAAAAUGCAAAUGAAUCGGAACAACGAAAGCUUGCCGUUCCACUAUUGAUUUGACGGUGGCCGCUUAUUGAAUUUCAAUUUACCCGACAGCUUAAUCGUCAUCGAUCGACUUAAUAUCCAUCGGAGGCAAAGGUAACGCGCUCGCAACGUAACCGAAAGCUAAUAAGGAAGCACUUCUCCUCGCGGCCGCGGAGCUGCGAGUAGAUUAUCGUCGAUCGAAUCAUUACGCAACGAACAAUUGAAAGCCGCUAACCCUACCGAGAAGUACUAAACUUCAACCGCGUAAUUAGCGUCGCAUUGUAUCGGUUAAUUCCUGCUCGAAUCGUUUGUUAUCGUUUAGAUCUCGAUGCUACUCGUUCAUCGUAGCUCUCGUUUCAACGCUACGAAUCGAUCGUCAUUUAAACGUCGAUUUGCAUCGUCGUUGUAAAUGUCGAUGGAACAUCGUUGUUGUAAACGUCGAUCGAUCCAACCAUUCUGAUCGUGACUUGGCCAACGUAAAAAUUUCACGAAGCAAAACAGUUUCAUAGACCUGCACGAUUCAACUUGGGAAUACUUGGAACAAACACUGCUAUCGGACCAUUUACGCAAUUAGUCGAUGUCAGGCUGCGCCAGUCUUCUCAUUGAUUGAUCGACCCCCGCGAGAGAAGGUCUAGGUCAAGGCUACCGGGGUCAGGAAAUAAGAGAGGUCGCGUGAACGCUGCAACUUGUCGAGAAGGGGAGAGAACGAGCCCACUGGUGUCGUGGAGAGGAUAAAAAGGGGUGCAUUCGCUGUUCUCGACGGAAGAAAGUCGACGUCGAUUUCACCGCAUUACAGCUGUGAUUGGAACACGUCAAUGUGGAGUAGCCCGAUAUCGGAAAAACGCUGAUCCAACAAUAAAACCUGUUCUCCUACCGUGUAGUAAUCACCUGUCAGAUUACGACUACAAGGUUACAUUUUCGUUUCACCUAACAACAAAGAGAGCAAUGGGAAGGAAGAAACGGCGGAGAUCACGGGAGAGAGGGAAAGGAACGCGCCUAAUGAUCGCGUGUUCCGCACAGGUGAUCGCGAGGUCAAACGUUGCUUCUCCAAAGUCCGAUAACCACCGACUGCGAACGAAAUGAUUAACGAUAGCCUGAGAAAACCAGACGUAGAACCAAAGAGGAGAAAAAGAACGAUGCGAGGGAAGAAAGGUGUGCCAUAUGGAAUUCGGUAUAUAGCAACGGUAAAAUCUGCGAUGGAAUUAAUAGAAAUCGGAGAGUGUUAUGGCACCUCAGGCGCGGACAAUCUGCACUUGAAAUCUACACAGCGAACGACGAAGACUAGAAGCGAAGAGGAAUAACAUUUGCCGGCAGCAAACCGUGUAAACAGCAGUUCCUUUUUCGUGUUGGUGCAGUAACGUUGCUAAAAAAGAAAAUGGCACAAUGACCUGGGACACGCGGUGUUACACGCGGGUCACCUACGCGAAAGCGAACGAACAAGCGAGCGAGCAAAGACGAUGCGGAACGUUUGGUGCAUGGUGCAACUCGCGUACCACGCGGGCAUGCACGCGUGCAUAUCAAUUCCGCGGGCGCGGAGGAGUCGCCAAGAUCUCAUGUAAAUCAUCGGGACAAGAUGGCUCCUCCCUAUUUUCUUGGCGCAAUGUGCACGCAACGACGGAGCGGUAAUGCUCGAAGCAUGUUUGAAAAGCGAAAACGUGGUUCAUCGGAGGACCAGAGAUCGAGCAAAGAGGAGAGACGGAAGGAGAGAAAGAGAGUGGAGAAGUGUCGAGUGUUACACGCGUGAAUAGUGCGUUUCGUUGUAUAAUGCGCGCGAGGAACACACCGAGCCGAUGCACUCGCGCAACGGUCGACCAAACCGAAGUCUAUUUCAUCGUAAAUCAUGACGAGCAACUAUUUACUUAUCGUAGAAUCGUAAAUAACGAGACAAAAAGACACGCUGCAUACCGGCAAAAAUUCACUUUACAAUGCUAAUGAAAUUCUAAAAAGUUCUGUACAAAGGAUAUAAUAAGUUCAUAAAAAUUUAUUAUGGUAAGUGUUCAAAUUGUUUCGCGAGUCAUCGUACAUAAGAUAAAAAAGCAGACUUUUGAUUUGACGUUAUUAUCUCUAAAGCACUUUUUGAAAGAAAUUUCUAUUUUUCUUCGUGCAGCGCCACUUAAGAGAGGUAGUCCAUUACUUUUAUUGCCCGACCAUCUGUGCGUUACCUGAAUUACCGUAAACUAUUUGUCCUCGUUCGCGACACAACACCGGUAUUUUCCCGAAACAGAAUUAUUUUCCUCUCUAAUCUCCUCGGAUUAGCCCGGAAAGUAUCCCGGUUAAAAGAAACUCACCUAUUUCACUCUCAACGAUCAAGGAACACCAAGAAUCGACUGCAAUUCGUAAUCAACCCGAUGAAUGAUCGAAUUACCGGGAUGUUCGACGAGCCUGCAUCCAAGCAUCAAGAGGAACCACCGAGAGUAGACCAACUGUCUGUCGAUGUCUAAUUACGCACUGAUUUUGUCCCUUCUCAUUUUCGUUCGGUCUUCACAACGUUAAGUAACUGACGGUCCUGCGGGACGAACCUGCGCAACUUUCGUGGUAGACAGAGAGGAUGAAACCGCAUCGAAAGCCUCCCCUGCCUAAGCUUCGGCCAGACUCCUCGAGACACCCCUUUUUCGCCUAGCUAAGUCAAAUCGACCGAACGUGCUCAUCGGCCCCUGUAAUCGAGACGCGAAUCUUUCUAUCCCCGCGCAUGUAAAACGUGUGUGUACGUUGCAAAGCGGCCUGGUAAACGCAAACUACACAGGGUGUUAAAAUAUCAAUCUCUCGACGUUUUAAAUUACACGCGAGAGAGAUCUCGAACGCACGUGUUGCACGGGGACCGGUAUCGUUAGACUGUGAAUCAACGACGGAAAGAAACGAGCGCAGGCCGUAGUUCUGUAGCCAGUUACGAUGACUAGGGAGAACGAGGGAAAAAUGUAAACGGAAGAAGCGAGCUAAAAGUGCAAAUAAGUAAACCGCUAACGACUCUGCCUAGUCGCUUCUCUCGGCAGAUUUGCAAGACGUAUUUGCAGACUCCACCUUAAACCGAGCCACAUGGCUACGCGUAUACUUUCUAAUUAUAUAGUAUCUUCCCGCCAUCAGCUGUGCUCGUUGGCUGACCGAGAAACUCGCCGGGAUAAAAAAGAAGGCGGGGGCAAAGUCGAAGAAAACUCGGCACUCAACGGAUAGCUCUCGACGAAAAGGUGGGAGAUGCGCAACCAUUAUAAACCUGCGACACGUUGCGCGAUUCGCGCUAUUGCAAAACGAGAAAAUAGAGGGGUCAAUGCGCGCGAUCGCGGCGUUAUCCUCGGAGAGGAAAAAGAGGAUUUCAAGCGCGAUCUUUCGACCAUGGUCAGAGGAGCGCAAAAAAGAAACUCGUAAGAAGAGUUAACAUCCCGUACGGUUUCGAAAUGAUAAAUAAAACGAACGAACAAAAUUUAAAAUAAGAAAGCGUGCUGCAUAGUGCGCAAAGGGGAUAUAAUAACGCGAAAGUUAGUACGCGCGGCCCCGAAGAAAACAAACGAUCGGUGAUAUGUUUGCAAAAAGGGUGCUAGGUAACAGUGUGUGAUACCACCGUGUAGAGUACGAUACAGAGGUUGGCCGUGCAACAACCUCGUAGUUCACCGACUACGCCUGCAGCUUCUGUACGCCACGCGAACAUACACCAUCCACUUUCCUAUUUUGCGUUCAGUAGCGACCGCUUCAUUUCGAUAACGGUAACGCAGCUCGAUCGUUCUGCCAAUUUUGUUGCCAAUUCAACCGGACCGAUCGUAAAGACGAUCAAAGUUGAAGGCACAGUAAAUUAGCUACGAAGCGAUCAGACGGUCAGGCCGACUUUUUCUACUUCCGCGCUCUCCGGAAUAUGACUCACCUUCUAGUCUCGUUCGGAUUAGACAAGUCGCUUUCGAAUUCAAGACGUUUGAGUUCAAUAACUCUACUUCAAGUUUCUGUACAUAUAAGUCAAGUUGCUUUAAAGUCGUUUCAAUGUAAAUGAAAUACUUCAACUUCGUUUAAGGCUUUAGAAAUUAAGUAUUCCAAAACAACCGAAAGAACAGUUUGUAAAACGGUUUCAGAUAACUCGAAGUCGAAUGACUUGACUAAUAAAAACGAGCUUAUGACGAAGAUGAAAACUCGCAACUCUAAGCAAAUAACAGGUUCGUAUUCCGUACAUAACAAAACGAUAGAUUCGCUACUAUAGUAAUUUCAAGACGCUUCAAUUCAGACAACUUGAUUAAUUUGAACGGAGCGUUAGAAAUUCUUACAAACAAUCUUGUUUCCCGAUAUAUACAUCAAAGUUUGGGAAACGUCGAGUAAAACUUGAGGCACACGAGUAACGUGCUCUAAUAGGUUAAAGCACGAAGCAAUUACUCAAGCUACAGCAUCGAAAACAAGCAGUCAUCUUUCGAAACGUCUUUCGAGACUAGACGCCUACGUUAAAAACCACUUGCAGAACAAACUCCAUCCAAGUUGUAGCGAACGAAGGAAGUACAUGUUAUACGAGUAUCAAGAAGUAACAGGAUGGUUAUUCGCAAAACGGUCCCGUUGCUAAUGGAUAGACGCGUCCGAGCAGAAGGUCAGUUUGGCGUUAGUAAAGGGUCAGCCAUAUAAAAACGUAGAUCGACUCGAGCUUUCGAAGAGAACAGGUUUUUCACAGUUCACCACUUCUUCGCUCGUGUAACAUCGCUCCCGUUCCGCGCAUAAUACUCGCAUAGAAACCUGCGGUGCACCUAUUCUCGCCGCGGACCCGUGAGAAAGGACACGGAAGAUCGACGAUCGCUUGUAAACAUCGAGAAGAGUUGCGGAAAUUUUCGCACGACCCUGAUAUUUUACGAGCCGACUGUGCACGUGAUCCGUACCGCGCCCACGUACCAUCCAUACGUACGAUUCUUUUUUCUUUAACCGUUGUUCCGUUUCUAUACGUCGAGCUCGCGAAUUCUACGCUAGAGAGAAACCUGUACGCUAAUAUAGGGUGUUCCAGUUUUUUCCGACUGAAAUUUGUCGCGACAUUUUAGGAGUAUAAACGAGAAAGGAAUAUUACACGGACGUAGGUCGUUUAAGGUUUUAUCAAGAAAUUGUAGGAAAAGUAAAACCUUAGUCUUCAUUAUUGCGAUGAGUUAAUACGCAGAAUCCAUUGAUCAUUUGAGAUGAAGUUGAAUCCAUCUUCGUCGAAUAAUAAAUAUUAUUUCUUACCACUAUCAAUCUUCUGUCGAUGAACGUCUAACUAAUGAUUAGUAAUUACGUCGAUUGUGAGCCUAUCAAAGGAUUUUAUCAUAGCAUAAAAACUACAGCUUUGUUAACACGUCCUUUAUUUUUAUAUUACAAUAUUAAUGUAUUACAACUUGGUAAUGAAGCUUCGAAUCUGCUAUCUUCAUAUCAUAAUAUUUUUAUAUCAUUCGUACCUAUAAAGUACAGUUUGACUAGAAAAAGUCUGAAACACCCUAUAUUCGUUGAACAUAGAAAAAAAAGGUGCUGCAGCAGCAGCAGAAGAGCAGCGAAGUUGAACGAAGUUUAACUUCGUUAAAGGCUUAGAGGGAAACUUUGAGCGACGGUAUUUUCAGGCUGUCGCGAGCACGAAUAGGGUAACAAGCCCUAUUCCAAGUUCUUGCCACGGCUAAACGUGUCGUGGCAAGAUUGCGUACCAACCAGCAACGAUUCGAAUCUCGCAAAAGUCGCGGCGUAAGUUCACGACGCUUGGUACAUACGCGUCUAGUAAUCAGAAACUCGCGUGCUCGACUUUGUGUACGCGGUCAACGUCUCGAACGUCAUAAAUUAUAUCAUGACCCUGCGGUAGUUCGUGAUCAAGAUGAUCUAUAGGUACUAGAAUAUUCACAUGGGGAUAGGUCAUGAGCGUAGACGGAAGAAGAGGAACGAGGAAAUAUUCCAGUUGUUUACGAGAUGGUUUCUCCGCGGAAGAAGAGGAACGAGGAAAUAUUCUAGCUGUUUACGAGAUGGUUUCUCCACAGUUGAUCUAGGAUAGAUUCAACUUAGCUAAAUCCCGUAGUUGGAGUAUCGCCAGAGAGCAGAGAGAGAGAGAGAGAGAGAGAGCACUUAAGAGCGCAAUCUCUUCAUCUAAAUGAACCCGUGGCACGAAAAUUACCCAUUGUAACUGAGGCUAUUUUUCUUGCACUUCAAAAGCCCGCGUACCUAUAGUAGAAAGAAAUUCACACGAGCUCUUGUAUGAUCGCGAUCUUCAUACAAUAGUUCAUAAAAAUAUUCCAACAUUUGUAGAAACCUUUUAUGAAUAUAUUAUGCGUUUACGAAACAUUUUCCGAUUUAAUUAACAUUGUAAUGAGACUCGACUAUCACUUUGAAGCUACAAAACAUUUAGUGAAAAUAUCCUUAAUACACUAUACAUAAAAUAGCUAUUACGGUAGAGUUUCCUACGUCCGAAUACUUUCGUGAGCCCACUGUAUGUGUACGCGAGUGUGUAUCCUGAAUUUUAGAAAAAGGAAGAAAAAAGAGAAGAACGUGUAUUUGAGCGAACAAUAAUAUACCGCUGCGCAAAGAGAAGCCGGCGUCGUAUACGAGGAAUUAAACAAUCGACCGAUUGUUAUCGGGCGUGACGUCUAAUAAAUAUGCAACGGGAAUGCAUCUACCCGGCGGUCUGUAAAACAAAAAACAUCGGAGGUAGCCCGGAAAUCGUUUAAUGGCGCCGGCAGCUCGGACACGCCGGCAGCCUCCGAAAAUUUCUACCUUGCGAGCAUGCGAUUUAAAGCGAGUCUAAUUUUAAAGCAAACAAAGAGUUAACAUUUAUUACGGCCGCUCCUCUCUGCCAUCAACCAGUUCAAUUGGCUACAAUUGUAAACUCAUUAUGACGAGGCAGACUAAACAGAAAAAUAUGGAAAAACGUCAAUGUCAAGGCUUGUGCGAUCUUUCCUAGUUUUCCUGUCUCUUUUUUCGUUUUUUGCUCGUUAAAACGAGAAACAACGAGCGGACAGCGUUUCUUUUAACGACCUUUCCAUGCGCAUACGUAGAGAACGCGUGAUUAAAAAGAUGUGCGAGUUUUGGAAAAGGUACGCGCCGCUCGAUUCUCUCUUUCCCUCGUCGUUCCUACUAAUUUAAAUCUCGGCAUCGUUAUCCAAGAACAUCGUUACCCAAUUAUACUUAUACGGUAAAUGACAAAGUGAUGGUCGUUUUUCGGAUGAAGUCACCGAUGUCAUCUCAAGGUCGGCCUUUUUUACACGCUAAUAAAACCUACAUGACGAUGCAAUUUUUCAAGUAACCGAUAAUAUUUUUCUUCCUUAUUUCGUUUUUUAUUUUUGCGUAACAUGUUGACCAUCAUGAGUAAUCGUUAUUCGUGAUCGAUAUUGGAUUUGCCAGAGACGCCGUAUGAUGAAACAUUUGAAUUACAUAAACGCUGUUGUGCGUUCGUUCUAUGUAUAAAACAAGGCCCUGUAAUUAAAAAAGAAUUCUUGUCGCAGCCCACGCGUUAAGUAAUAUAAACUGGAACAAAUAAAAAAGUUGAACGCACGACAAUAAAGGGGCGCGUAUCAGAUAACAAUUUUUAAUCCACCCUAGGCCUCAGUUAGGUAAUUUCGCGAGCCUCGAUUUAACCGGGCUACCUCGGUCCCGAUUAAGCCAGUCAAUCGAGACCCCGCUGUAAUUCGUAUCCACGUGUUUCCAGCAAGAGAGGGGAGAGAAUGAAAUGACCCGAACGACCGGCGAAGGUCCUCCGACUUUCCGAAGCACCGAACGGAACGCGUUUUCGCGUUCAAAGACGCGAGACCGAUCGUCGUU